AGUGAACGCUGGCGGUAGGCCUAACACAUGCAAGUCGAACGGCAGCACAGUAAGAGCUUGCUCUUACGGGUGGCGAGUGGCAGACGGGUGAGGAAUACAUCGGAAUCUACUUUUUCGUGGGGGAUAACGUAGGGAAACUUACGCUAAUACCGCAUACGACCUACGGGUGAAAGCAGGGGAUCUUCGGACCUUGCGCGAUUGAAUGAGCCGAUGUCGGAUUAGCUAGUUGGCGGGGUAAAGGCCCACCAAGGCGACGAUCCGUAGCUGGUCUGAGAGGAUGAUCGGCAACACUGAAACGGGAAAACGUUCAGACUCCCAAGGGAAGGCGGCGUGGGGAAUUAUUGGAAAUGGGGGGCAGGCUGGUCCAAGCCAACCGGGGGGGGUAAGGAAGGCUUCCGGUUUGAAAGCCCUUUUGUUGGGAAAGAAAAGCAGCAGGUUAAUACCCCGCUGUUCUGACGGUACCCAAAGAAUAAGCACCGGCUAACUUCGUG
Molecule: ribosomal RNA, 491 nt
Filed under: uncultured bacterium
Lineage: Bacteria
Description: partial 16S ribosomal RNA
Rfam family: Bacterial small subunit ribosomal RNA
Source: RNAcentral